This 172-nucleotide non-coding RNA is filed under the name Oryctolagus cuniculus (rabbit). RNAcentral describes it as "Eukaryotic large subunit ribosomal RNA". It matches the Rfam family "Eukaryotic large subunit ribosomal RNA", at positions 1177 to 1349 of the family's 3401-position model. The record is from Rfam by way of RNAcentral. Lineage: Eukaryota; Metazoa; Chordata; Mammalia; Lagomorpha; Leporidae.
GGGUUAAGGCACCCCAUGCUGAUGCUCAUCAGACUCCAGAAAAGGUGUUGGUUGAUAUAGACAGCAGGACGGUGGUCAUGGAAGUAGAAUCCGCUAAGGAGUGUGUAACAACUCACCUGCUGAAUCAACUAGCCCUGAAAAUGGAUGGCACUAGAGCGUCUGGCCCAUACCC